Molecule: non-coding RNA, 4442 nt
Organism: Microcebus murinus (gray mouse lemur)
Lineage: Eukaryota; Metazoa; Chordata; Mammalia; Primates; Cheirogaleidae
Source: RefSeq, a predicted model, not a curated record
AACACUGUAGAGGCCAAAUGUUCAGCUGUUCUAACCCCACUAGAUCUUUCUUUUCCCUGCUCCUUCCUGGUGCUGCCCCAUUGACCCUAAGGAAGAGGAGAGCAACUAACCAGACUAGUCAGGUUUCCAAGCUUCUUGUAGCAACAGGUGGGACUCAAGCCAUGCAGACACACGCUGUGUUCUCUCUUCUCCCUCCUGUCCUGAUGCUGGUUGGUACAACAAAAACCCUGGAUAUUAGAUAUAAAACCAAGAAGACUCUGAAAGGUGGAGAGAAGAAUACAGACUUCCUAGAGACCUCUGGACUCUAGCAACAUCAUGGUGGGGGCACCUGUGACAAGCACUGUGAGCUCAGAAAGAUCUAAAAUGUGCAGGGCACUAAAAUUUGCAUAUCUGGUUGUUUUCUCCUGAAGACCCCAGGAAACCUGGCCAUUUAGAAUGAUCACAAACAUUUGAAUAAAGCAGUUUACAAGCAUGAAAGGAUGCACAGGAAAGAGAUGAAGAAAUAGAGGAGUCAGAGAGGUAAUUGUAGAGAAAAAUGCUAAUCCACUAUAAACAGCAGCAGCAGCAGUAACUUGGAGUGUUGUCUUCUGGAUUUCUAAGCUGAUUGUGUCCAGCAUGUAUAUUGGAGCAGAGUCUGAUUUAAAAUGUUCUAUCCUGAUUUUAGACUAUACCACCUGAUGGAUGCCACCUGAUAAGAUUCGGGAGGAAUGAGAAUGGCAUUGCUAUCCAACAGUCCUUACCUCGGUGGAUCAAUACAAUGUCAGAGCAGAGAAGGAAUUAAAGAAGAUAAAGACCCCUGUUCUUCAACAGGGUGCUUGGGCAUUUGAGGCAGGAUAUGUUUUCCCUAGUAAUUGUGAUGACCCCCAAAUGCCCCACUUGUCAUAUUUCUGUAUGUUCCCAGGAGAGCAGUGCACCUAUUUAAAAAUCACACAAUUCUAGUCUCAUCUCUUUCUUUUAUGGCUGAGGAAAUGGAUUCCUGAAGAGGUUGAGUGACUGGCCCAAGGCCACACAGUACGACAGCAGCAGGGCAAAAACUAGAAUUUAUAUCCAUUGUUCCUUCCUCACUACUGGGCUGCGCCUCCAACCCUACUCAUCAUUUCUCUAACAGAAUUCAUUCCUUUGGGAUUAGGGUUUGCAUUUUCAUUAAUCUCCACCAAUGUCAAAUAUUACUAGGAAGUAAGAGAUACUAUGUAAACCUUGAGUUACUUUAGAAACUUAAACAUAUCAGGACAAAGAAAUGUUGAAAUGUUGAGUGCCAGGGAUGCUGCUCAGAUAGGACAACAGAGAAUGGAAGGGGAUGCUGGGGUGGGUGGUCAUAUUCAGAUGGAGGCUGUUUCUAUAGUGAUGUGAUCAGUUUGGCAGACAUAUGGCUAUAAAACAUAUAGACUAGGUAUCAGGUAGGGCUGUGAAGUGAGCCUCUUGACUUCAGUUUAUAGUCACACCCCAUAGAAUUUAUGUCAUGAAUUCAUCUUCGGGGCAGCUUUUUUCUAGUACUCUUGUUCUAUCUGGAUUUAUUUCUAGCUUCUUAAACUCAGCCCACUUUAGAUCUAGGAUUCCAGCCCAACUCUUCAAUAAAUCCCUUCUUGACCUGAGACAAUUUGGAGCAAGCACUUGAGGGAGCAUAGGCUUGGCAUUCAGCCAGACCUGUGGCUGAGUCUCAGCCUUGGUGCUUCCCAAGUUGCUAUGACUUUGGGCACCCCUUAACCUCUCCAAAGCUCCAUUUCCUUUUCUGUAAAAUGAGGGGGUCAGGAGGUUUACAGGAGGGAGUGUGUGUAAUAUAAUUGGCACCCGGAUGGUACCAUAUGUUGGCAUUCACUCCUCUCUGCCUAAUCAUAAAUAAUCUUAAAUAAAAUUAUUUUCCAUUUAAAAAAUUCCUAUGGAUUUUCCAGUCUCUUCCUCAGCCAGUUUUCCUGUUGUCCUUUAAGUGUGUGUGAAGGGGCAUUUUGUUUCAUAUUACAGAAUCUGCAGUAGCUUACAUACAUAUUCAAGUGCAUUCAAGGGAGCUCAGUUUGUCACUGAGCUUCCCGGUUUUUCCAUUGCCACUAAUUCUGUAAGAUACAUUUGCAUAGGGUGCUCAGAGACCAUUAAAGCUCUGUAAAGCCCUGAAAUCACAUGUAGUAAGCAUGCGGUUAUACCCUCUAAAAUUUACAGUACACUGCAACCAAAUUGCUCAGUUUGUUCAGGAUUGAUUCCUUAUGAGGCUCUACUCUGCAUAAAACAGAGACCAAGUCCUCACUUUAUGUCUCUUCAUCCUCGCAGAAAUCAUAGUCCAUUAUCGGGCAGCCUGCAGGGAUCCAUUACUGUUGGUGAAAGGGAGCUCUUUCAGAAAGUUUUCCUUAAGGACCUGGGUUUUAGAUAUGCCCCUCUGCUUGUGAGAUGUGCCACUGAUUAGCGUCUGUGUUGUGACAGAGUGAUUAUGCAUGUUGUGAAUAAACAUGCUUAUGUACGCAUGUGUGCUGUCACAGCAAUGAGUAGCAUCCAAUAAAUACCGGGUUAAGAGCAUGCCAGCAUCUUCCUAACAGCUGGCACAGCUGAAAAACUUGCCUGCCUUAUUAACACUCCACUUAUCUGGGAUCUGCUCACUGAGCAGAAACAACUUCAUAAAUUUUUGUAAUUUGCAUUCUGCCUUGCUGUUGCUCAUUACCAUUGACCUCAUCCCUCCUGUGCUAGAGAGGACCGGCCUUCCACGGCCCUGCCUGCCGGAUGCACCUUACCUCUGCCUGUCAACAUCAGAGGCAGAGUCAGGAUUAAGGCUUGUUGCUGCUACCAGGGCUGUGAAAGAAUCGGGGUGAUUUUUCCUCCCUUCAUUCUGGAGAAAGUGACACUUCCACAGUCCCUUCUUCCUCUUGUCCAUUUGUAACCUCUUCUUUCUGAGGCAGAUUAAAAUGGAGAGGACCAAACCUUCCUCUGAAUGGGAGAAAAGAAACAGGCAGGCAGCAAUUUGGUUGUCCAAGAAAAUAUUCUAAUCCUUUCUCAGUGUCAUUCAGAGACUACUCAAUUGUGUUUACAAUGUAUGUCAGUUUCUCACUUAAUCAUUCUAAUCUAGUUUCCUAGCCUUUUAACCUUUCUCUCCUUUGCCCUGGCUCUUUUAUUCUGUGUUGUGUUUUCAGCUGUUUCAUUAGACACAGUUCACGACUCAUAGCAUCCAGUUAAAUAUAUUUUCAGGCCAGGUGCCUUUUCUUAUUGGCCUGUGUUGUAGGGGAAGCUGAUUCCUUCCUUCCCUUUCUAUAUGGGACCCUUCUAUAUGUCACCCCCCCCUCAAAAAACUCCUUAUUAUCCUUGAUUAAAAGUGGUGAUCUGACUGUUGUCUCAGGUCUCUCUCAAACUGCUCCCCUCAAGGGUCCCAGAGCCCCAAACCCCUGUGAACUAGAGGCAGCUCCUGAAAGCAAUAGAACCUUUGAGCAGAGGCUUCAUUAAAAAUCACAUCACGAACCUGGUUUUAUUUUUUUCCCCUCCCUGACUUGAUGAAAACAAAACAAGAAGAGGUAGGGAGGGAGAAAGGAGGAGAGGUAGAAGCGAAUUGCUUAAUGGAGACAGUCUGAAUAUUUAAUAUGCUGAUUUUAUUGAAUAAAAGGUGAAAAAGUGGUUCUUGUUUGUUGCUUGCCUGUCAAACCAUGGCAAACAAGCAUUCUUUUCCCUGACUGGAGCUUUUUAUUACUGUAUGGAUUCUAGAGUGUAAUUAUGCCCUAUAUCUGAGCUGCAUUAUACACACAAUUACAAUUUCCCAGCUGAACUAUUUAUUUAUUACCAGAGGAAUAUUUGUUCAGUCCUUGGAGGAUUUUUUUGGGUGAUGACUCUCAUUGUCUUGCCCUUCAUCGGUAAGGAAUGUCCAGAAGGAGCCCCUUACUCUGAGCCCCUGGCUUGUCUGUUGACAGUUUGGAUGAACUUCCCAGCUACAUUUAUUCAUGCUGUUGGAGACAGAUGCUGGGCAAAAGAAAUUUUAGGGCUAUAAAUGUUUAAGAAUGUUUACACUGUUUUCAGAGCUUUCAUGGGAAGGACUUUUUAUUCUAGCUAUUAUCAUCUUAUGAAAUCUGAUUUGAAAUCAUUUUAGAAAAUAGCUUUCUCUAGGUACAGCCUGCUUGCCUAGCAGUUCAUAAAGAAAGAAGAGCCCACAGCUAAAUAGAAUUCACGUCAAUAAACAUUUGUUGAAAACUUUACCAUGAGCCAGGCACUAUUGUGGGCAUUAGGGCAUAGAGUGGAGGAAAUCUCAGUUCUUAUCCCAGAGGUCUUAUAGUUCAUCAUGAGAAGCAGAUUAAUUAAGAGAAAUGUAGUGAGUGCUACAAUAUUGGUUCAUUCAUUUAUUUUAAUUUUUGCUGAUUUUAUGCUGCGUACAAACACUAGAUAGGGGAUACACAUAUGUUGAAGAAAAUAAAUAUGAUCUUCACUCCUCAGGUGUGGCUUCUACCCUCACCAUAGAAGGACAAAGGAGGAGGGCCAGAUGG